CAGGACAUAAUUUAAUUAGAAUAUUGGCUUUGGGGGCCAGUUGUAGAGGUUAAACUCCUUUUGUCUUGA
This 69-nucleotide transfer RNA is filed under the name Quasipaa boulengeri (spiny-bellied frog). RNAcentral's name for it is "tRNA-Pro". It matches the Rfam family "tRNA". Rfam says of the family: Transfer RNA (tRNA) molecules are approximately 80 nucleotides in length. Their secondary structure includes four short double-helical elements and three loops (D, anti-codon, and T loops). Lineage: Eukaryota; Metazoa; Chordata; Amphibia; Anura; Dicroglossidae. The record is from RNAcentral.